AUGCUCACUUCAGUAGCACGUAUACUAAGGCUGAAAAUUAGCAUGGCCCCAUGCACAAGGGUAACAUGCAAAUUUGUGAGGUGCUCCAAAUUUUA
Molecule: small nuclear RNA, 95 nt
Filed under: Ochotona princeps (American pika)
Lineage: Eukaryota; Metazoa; Chordata; Mammalia; Lagomorpha; Ochotonidae
Source: RNAcentral